GACGAACGCUGGCGGCGCGCUUAACACAUGCAAGUCGAACGGAAAGGCCUGCUUUCCCUUGUGGAUUGCGGGUACUCGAGUGGCGAACGGGUGAGUAACACGUGAGUGAUCUGCCCCCAACUUGGGUAUAAGCCUGGGAAACUGGGUCUAAUUCCCGAUAGGACUGCAGGGUGGUGCCUGUGGUGGAAAACGAUUUUCUAGUGGUUGGGGAUGAGCUCGCGGCCUAUCAGCUUGUUGGUGGGGUACUGGCCUACCAAGGCGGCGACGGGUAGCCGGCCUGAGAGGGUGGACGGCCACAUUGGGACUGGGAUACGGCCCAGACGCCUACGGGAGGCAGCAGUGGGGAAUAUUGGACAAUGGGCGGAAGCCUGAUGCAGCGACGCCGCGUGGGGGAUGACGGCCUUCGGGUGGUAAACUCCUUUCGACCGCGAGGAAGCCACCUGGUUGGAAGGGUGGUGACGGUAGUGGUAGAAGAAGCACCGGCUAACUACGUG
RNAcentral lists this ribosomal RNA (494 nucleotides) under uncultured bacterium. RNAcentral describes it as "partial 16S ribosomal RNA". It matches the Rfam family "Bacterial small subunit ribosomal RNA", at positions 28 to 507 of the family's 1533-position model. The record is from RNAcentral.